Molecule: long non-coding RNA, 278 nt
Organism: Dromaius novaehollandiae (emu)
Lineage: Eukaryota; Metazoa; Chordata; Aves; Casuariiformes; Dromaiidae
Exons: 5
Source: RefSeq, a predicted model, not a curated record
AUCUCCAGUACCGUUCUGGAUCUCUGUUAUUCCAUAUUUAACAGCAUGCAUACAAAUGAGGAAUCACAGAUUGCUGCAGCAGAAUUUACAAAGAAGGAUAGUCAUGGGACUCUGGGACGGCCCUUUUUCCUUUUCAGGCCUCGAAAUGGAAGAACUAUCGAGGGCAGUGAAUACCAUGGAGUAUGAAGUUUGUGGAUCCAUUUACCAGACUGAUGACUUGCUUUAUACAAAGAAAAUAAACUUUCUCUUGAACAGUUUGCCUAUUAUGUGACUCAGUU